Molecule: ribosomal RNA, 647 nt
Filed under: uncultured bacterium
Lineage: Bacteria
Description: partial 16S ribosomal RNA
Rfam family: Bacterial small subunit ribosomal RNA (bases 1-544)
Source: RNAcentral
CCUACGGGAGGCAGCAGUAAGGAAUAUUGGUCAAUGGAGGCAACUCUGAACCAGCCAUGCCGCGUGCAGGAAGAAGGCCCUAUGGGUCGUAAACUGCUUUUGUACCAGAGAAAACCCGAGUACGUGUACUCGGUUGAUAGUAUGGUAAGAAUAAGCAUCGGCUAACUUCGUGCCAGCAGCCGCGGUAAGACGAAGGAUGCAAGCGUUAUCCGGAUUCAUUGGGUUUAAAGGGUGCGUAGGCGGACUGAUAAGUCAGUGGUGAAAUCUCUCGGCUUAACCGAGAAACUGCCAUUGAUACUGUUAGUCUAGAGUAUAGAUGACGUUGGCGGAAUAUGACAUGUAGUGGUGAAAUACUUAGAUAUGUCAUAGAACACCGAUUGCGAAGGCAGCUAACGAAACUAUAACUGACGCUGAGGCACGAAAGUGCGGGGAUCAAACAGGAUUAGAUACCCUGGUAGUCCGCACCGUAAACGAUGAUUACUCGUUGUUGGCGAUAUAGUACGUCGAGCGACCGAACGACGAACGACGAGUAAGUAAUACCACCGUACGGGUAGGUACGGACCCGGACCGACGGUACGGAAACGUAACGAAAGAAAGUAGUACGGACGUAGAGACGAGACGACGGACGACGACGAGGGAGGGAGGNG